AUGGCGAGCUUGUUACAACUGUUUAAUGAUUGGGAGAUCCAACUGCUUGUCCUUCUCAGCUUCGUGCUACAGAUAUUCCUCUUCUUUACUGGCAGCCUUCGGCAACGUGGCGCCAAGUUUCUUAGUGGCAUUAUUUGGAUAGCUUAUUUGGUGGCAGACUUGGUAGCAGUUUAUGCCCUUGGUUUGCUAUCAAAACAAGACGACAACGCCAUAGCGCUGACAAAAAACCACCCAUUAGCUUUCUUUUGGCCGCCCUUCCUACUCAUUCAUCUUGGUGGACAGGACACCAUCACAGCUUUUUCCUUGGAGGACAACCGCUUGUGGUUGAGGCAUUUGUUGAAUUUGAUAGUUCAAGUGGUCCUAGCAUUGUAUGUCUUCUCAAAGUACAUUGCUGGGCGCAAUGCGCAGCUUCUUGUUCCGGGCAUCUUUAUGUUUGUUGCUGGAAUCAUCAAGUAUGGGGAGAGGACGAUGGCUCUCAUGUACGGGAACCUACAAAACAUAAGUGGCUACAACAAUAGUGAAGAAAGUAAGCUGAACCAGCAUCAAGAACUAGAUCAAGAUGCUAGCUUCUCUAGCAUUGUUUGCUUUUCCUUGGAUUCAGCGCCAAUCAUUCGGCAUUUAUUUGCUGGAUUUACGCUCUUCCAGAUACCACAAGGCUUCUGUGCAGCAACUUGGACGAGUUAUGCCCGGUCAGGUGAAGUUCAAUUGUCCAAGCUGGUCAAGUUGGUUGACGUCGAACUUGGUAUCAUGUAUUGUGAUGUCUAUACCAAGGCGGCAAUGCUUCGGACAAGAAGCGGGAUUAUACUUCGAUGCACAUCUCAAGUGUCGGCUUUGGUUGCCCUUGUGCUCUUCAUAGUUGGUGACAAAGAGAGAUACAACAGGGCCGACGUUGCAAUCACCUACAUGUUAUUCAUGGGGAGCUUUUUACUGGAAGUUCUUGCAAUGUUUAUGAUGGUCAUGGUGUCACCUUGGACAUGGGCAUGGCUGAAGGCCAGGAAGUGUGUUUGGCUCACUCGCGUGUCCUGGACGCUUGUCUCCAAUAAUAUUGUUGGAUGGCCGGAGGAGAAGCCGCUGUGGUCAAACCGCAUAGGGCAGUACAACUUUCUGAGCUAUGUGGGCUGCGAGGAAAACCCAAGGAGCCCGUCCAUGUCGGAACGAGUGAUGGGCAUGAGUAGGAAGAUGGCAAAAGCAGUUGGCGCUGGAGAGGACAGGUUGUUUUGGUUGAGCAAGGUAUUAGACGCCAAGUACGAGGAGGUGGAUAAGGAUAUCACAGAGAGCUUUGUGAAAGAGAUUAGAGUCAUUCUCCAGUCCCCUUUUGGAGGCCAAAAACGACAGUGGCAACAUCUCAGUCGGUUCCUGCGUAGUAUGGCAAGAGAAUUGUCUGACAAUUUUAGUGCUGUCAUAAUCCGUUUGAAUAUAUCAACAAUAAUACACCUGAGUGAGGUUUCAAGCGUGGACGCGGAGAUAGCUGCCUUGGUUGGUGUCUGCCGGAAACUAUCCAAUUAUAUGAUGUACCUUCUUGUUACACACCCAGUUAUGCUGCAGGUCACUGCUAGCAGUGCCAAAUCAGUGCUACAAGGCUUCCGUAAGAAGUUUAUGAUGAUGGCAGGCAGCAUCAGCAUCAGCAACAGCAAGCAUGGUGUUGUUCUGCAAAAUCUGAAAGAGUUCUUAUCCAAGGAGGAUUCUGCCUUGUCUUUACCAGAACCAUGCAAAGAAACACUGGAGGAGAUGAGAGACAUGUGGGUGAGGAUCAUCAUGUACGCUGCAAGCAGGUCGCGGCCCGAGACGCACGCGACCCAGCUGGCCAGAGGAGGGGAGUUCCUUACCUUCAUCUGGCUGCUCAUGGCACACAAGAAUCUUGGGGCUUCCGCGGCCUUUCCCAUCGACCUUAUUAGUCCACCUACUACUUUUGGACCUCACAUUGAUGUGCGAUUUUACGCCUUUGAUUUUCGCUGA
This 1956-nucleotide ribosomal RNA is filed under the name Triticum aestivum (bread wheat). RNAcentral describes it as "partial small subunit ribosomal RNA". Lineage: Eukaryota; Viridiplantae; Streptophyta; Magnoliopsida; Poales; Poaceae. The record is from RNAcentral.